GUUCGAUGGGAAAGUAAACUGUGAGCAGUUCUGUUUCUAAUACAAUGGAUUAUGGAUUUCAUCUUAAUAAUUUCGUAUAAAGGCUGACGUUACUGUUAUUUUAACAAGAUUCAUUCGAUUGGAUGGAAGACAAUAGAAGGAAGAAUUUCUUUAACGUUGGUUUUACAUUUCCAUAAAAGCACAACGGUUUCAGUUUUAUGGAUGAUGGGAAUAAAUUAGCUCAAGCAUGAAAUCUAAAUUGCUAAAGAAAACAAAUGUUUGUUUGCAGCAUUUCAUUUAUUUCAUUUUAAAAGUGCAAGCAGGUAUGUUAUGACUUCAUGAAAU
Argiope bruennichi is the source of this 324-nucleotide long non-coding RNA. RefSeq lists it as uncharacterized. The transcript is spliced from 3 exons. NCBI's taxonomy places the organism in Eukaryota, Metazoa, Arthropoda, Arachnida, Araneae, Araneidae. The record is from RefSeq and is a predicted model, not a curated record.